This 468-nucleotide ribosomal RNA is filed under the name uncultured bacterium. RNAcentral's name for it is "partial 16S ribosomal RNA". It matches the Rfam family "Bacterial small subunit ribosomal RNA", at positions 28 to 507 of the family's 1533-position model. The record is from RNAcentral.
GACGAACGCUGGCGGCGUGCUUAACACAUGCAAGUCGAGCGGAAAGGCCCCUCCGGUGGUGCUUGCGCGGCGGGCGAACGGGUAAGUAACACGUGAGUAGCCUGCCCUUUAGGUUGGGAUAACGGCAGGGAACUUGAGCUAAGACCGGGUAGGUACGCCGCCUGCAGGGUGGUGGUUGGAUAGUUGCGGCGGGUGGGGAUGGACUCGCGGCUUAUCAGCUUGUUGGUGGGGUAGUGGCUUACCAUGGCUUUGACGGGUAGCCGGCCUGAGAGGGUGACCGGUCACAUUGGGACUGAGAUACGGCCCAGACUCCUACGGGAGGCAGCAGUGGGGAAUAUUGCACAAUGGGCGGAAGCCUGAUGCAGCAACGCCGCGUGCGGGAUGACGGCCUUCGGGUUGUAAACCGCUUUCGCCUGUGACGAAGCGUGAGUGACGGUAAUGAGUAAAGAAGCACCGGCUAACUACGUG